This is a long non-coding RNA of Homarus americanus (American lobster), 987 nucleotides long. RefSeq lists it as uncharacterized. The record is from RefSeq and is a predicted model, not a curated record. NCBI's taxonomy places the organism in Eukaryota, Metazoa, Arthropoda, Malacostraca, Decapoda, Nephropidae. The transcript has 2 exons.
CCACAGACCUGCCUCACCUCCACAUCAAUCGACUAACACCUUCCAACCGUACCACACCUCUGUAAACACAUCUUGCUGACCAUGAAGCUGACAAUCCUCAUAAUGCUGGUGGGUCUCGCCCUGGUAGCGGCUGACACCCCUGGCACCCCUAACAAGCGUUUCCUCUCUGGGGGCUUUAACUUGAACUUCCACAAACCAGGCAUUGGUUUUCCAUACCCUGGUGCAUACGGUGGUCACUAUGGAUAUCCCGGCGGAUAUCCCGGGGGAUUCGGCGGAUAUCCCGGGGGAUUCGGCGGACAUCCCGGGGGAUUCGGCGGACAUCCCGGGGGAUUCGGCGGGGGAUUCGGCGGAGGAUUCGGCGGGGGAUUCGGCGGAUAUCACGGAUAUCCCGGGGGAUAUGGGCACUUUGGUUAGAUCUUAAGCUCACAGACUUACUGACACCGAUCACCUACAACAACGUGUGAUUUCCAUUGAUCUCACAGCAACUUCCCUCUCGCCCUCUCCCCUGCCUCUUAGUCAUCAUAUUUAAUAUUCACUAUUCAACACACAGUCAUUGUUAUUACCAAGUUUGUUUUCAGAUCAUAGAAAAAAUAAAUUGCUAUUUAACCAUGUAUUAACACAAAGCAAUACUCCUUUUUCAUCGUAUUUGCCUUUAAACUAUGCAAAAAACAAAUUAGUUAACUACGGCCCACACAGAAGUACUCAAAUUCUUUUUAUAUUUACUAAAUUGGUCGCCAGUUCAUGCAUAAUUAAUCUACUAAACCUAUAUGUUUGGGGGGGCAUGUAUGUGUUCUUCCCUUGGGUGGUGAGGCAGAUCCGAUUAUGAGGUGAACAUCAGGUUGACAGACGCAAUCAUCACUUGAUCUCUCACUCCAACCAAUAUUGCCAUUCAUGUCUAGUCAAGACGUCUCAAACUCCCUCAUUAUGCAGCUGUGACUCCAAUGUUCAUCUAGUGUAAUAAUAUUUAUAAAUACAUCCUUACUCUUA